UCGAACGGUAAGGCCCCUUCGGGGGUACACGAGUGGCGAACGGGUGAGUAACACGUGAGUAACCUGCCCUUGACUCUGGGAUAACAUCUGGAAACAGGUGCUAAUACCGGAUAUUCAGCUUCCUCUGCAUGGGGGUUGUUGGAAAGCUCCGGCGGUCAAGGAUGGACUCGCGGCCUAUCAGCUUGUUGGUGAGGUAAUGGCUCACCAAGGCUCCGACGGGUAGCCGGCCUGAGAGGGCGACCGGCCACAUUGGGACUGAGAUACGGCCCAAACUCCUACGGGAGGCAGCAGUGGGGAAUAUUGCACAAUGGGCGCAAGCCUGAUGCAGCAACGCCGCGUGCGGGAUGACGGCCUUCGGGUUGUAAACCGCUUUCAUCCAUGACGAAGCGAGAGUGACGGUAGUGGAAGAAGAAGCACCGGCUAACUACGUGCCAGCAGCCGCGGUGAUACGUAGGGUGCGAGCGUUGUCCGGAUUUAUUGGGCGUAAAGAGCUUGUAGGCGGUUUGUCGCGUCGGGAGUGAAAACUCAGGGCUUAACCCUGAGCCUGCUUCCGAUACGGGCAGACUUGAGGAAGGUAGGGGAGAUUGGAAUUCCUGGUGAAGCGGUGGAAUGCGUAGAUAUCAGGAGGAACACCAGUGGCGAAGGCGGAUCUCUGGACCUUUCCUGACGCUGAGAAGCGAAAGCGUGGGGAGCAAACAGGCUUAGAUACCCUGGUAGUCCACGCCGUAAACGGUGGGUACUAGGUGUGGGGGACAUUCCACGUUCUCCGUGCCGCAGCUAACGCAUUAAGUACCCCGCCUGGGGAGUACGGCCGCAAGGCUAAAACUCAAAGGAAUUGACGGGGCCCCGCACAAGCGGCGGAGCAUGCGGAUUAAUUCGAUGCAACGCGAAGAACCUUACCUGGGUUUGACAUAUGCCGGAAACAUCUAGAGAUAGGUGCCCCUUUAUGGUCGGUAUACAGGUGGUGCAUGGCUGUCGUCAGCUCGUGUCGUGAGAUGUUGGGUUAAGUCCCGCAACGAGCGCAACCCUCGUCCUAUGUUGCCAGCGGGUAAUGCCGGGGACUCAUAGGAGACCGCCGGGGUCAACUCGGAAGAAGGWGGGGAAUGACGUCAAGUCAUCAUGCCCCCUUAUGUC
RNAcentral lists this ribosomal RNA (1134 nucleotides) under Tessaracoccus sp. RNAcentral's name for it is "bacterial SSU rRNA". It matches the Rfam family "Bacterial small subunit ribosomal RNA", at positions 62 to 1208 of the family's 1533-position model. The record is from RNAcentral. Lineage: Bacteria; Bacillati; Actinomycetota; Actinomycetes; Propionibacteriales; Propionibacteriaceae.